AUGGCCUCCAGCUGCACAACUUUACCCCGGCCUCCAUUCUGCACAUCGUGGGUUAUGUUGCUUUAUGCGAACUGUUACUGGGUAUUGAGGCCCAUUUUGAACUGUGGAGAAAGUUGUUUCGCCUUGUCCCGCGCAACGACGAAGGAUCAAUAUUUGAAGUGGGGUGCCGAAAUAUGGCGCAUUGCCGAGACCGGAUACUUAUCCGGCACGCCGAAGAAGGCGUCGGAAGAGUGGACCUCUGAGUGGUUUUACCUUGAUGACCUCGUACUUCCAGAUCCGGUCCGGAGAGGCCUCCCCGAGUUUGCGAGUGUUCCUCUGAAGAAGCGCCAUAGCUGGCGCCCCCGGAGUCCCGAGGAGGAAGAUAGUGCGGAAGUUCGCCAACUCCUGAGCAAGAUCAGGACGCUUGCCCAGUCCGGGUAUACAGUAGUCGAAGUGACGGCGACCUCAUAG
This 450-nucleotide ribosomal RNA is filed under the name Triticum aestivum (bread wheat). RNAcentral describes it as "partial small subunit ribosomal RNA". The record is from RNAcentral. Lineage: Eukaryota; Viridiplantae; Streptophyta; Magnoliopsida; Poales; Poaceae.